UGGGUUUAGAACGUCGUGAGACAGUUCGGUCCCUAUCCGCUGCGCGCGCAGGAGUCUUGAGAAGGGCUGUCCCUAGUACGAGAGGACCGGGACGGACGAACCUCUGGUGUGCCAGUUGUCCUGCCAAGGGCAUGGCUGGUUGGCUACGUUCGGGAGGGAUAACCGCUGAAAGCAUCUAAGCGGGAAGCCUGCUUCGAGAUGAGGACUCCCACCCACUUGAUGGGGUAAGGCUCCCAGUAGACGACUGGGUUGAUAGGCCGGAUGUGGAAGCACCGUAAGGUGUGGAGCUGACCGGUACUAAUAGGCCGAGGGCUUGUCCAU
Molecule: non-coding RNA, 321 nt
Filed under: Actinacidiphila rubida
Lineage: Bacteria; Bacillati; Actinomycetota; Actinomycetes; Kitasatosporales; Streptomycetaceae
Description: Streptomyces rubidus Bacterial large subunit ribosomal RNA
Rfam family: Bacterial large subunit ribosomal RNA
Source: Rfam by way of RNAcentral